CGUUAUAUAAAAAGAGGGAGUUUAUGGGUUGUUUUUUACCAAUUUGGGACACAUUUACCCUCCAAUUGGAAACAGUACACACUAAGGGGGCUGGGUUUUAUGUCUUUUCGCCCCUUCUGUCACAUGUGGACCACAAAUGGCCACGUUUUACUCCUGCCUAUUCAUUCUCUCUCUCUCACACAACACAGACACUCUCUCUCUCUCUUCCUCUCACUGCACAGACGUACAGUGGUUCUCUCUCCCUCUCUCCGCCUCUCCUCCUCUCCUCGCCUAGACAACCAGUAGAUCGGCGUAGUUGCAGUCGUGUUGUUUCGGUGAAGCAUGUGAGAUUUAUGGGGCUUUUGUGGGGCUAAUCGUGAACAAUGAGUAAUCAGACAGCGACGGUGUUGAGGACGUCGACGACGCAACUCUUGCUUCAGAG
Rhododendron vialii is the source of this 421-nucleotide long non-coding RNA. RefSeq lists it as uncharacterized. The transcript is spliced from 2 exons. Lineage: Eukaryota; Viridiplantae; Streptophyta; Magnoliopsida; Ericales; Ericaceae. The record is from RefSeq and is a predicted model, not a curated record.